GUGGGGAAUCUUGCGCAAUGGGCGAAAGCCUGACGCAGCCAUGCCGCGUGAAUGAUGAAGGUCUUAGGAUUGUAAAAUUCUUUCACCGGGGACGAUAAUGACGGUACCCGGAGAAGAAGCCCCGGCUAACUUCGUGCCAGCAGCCGCGGUAAUACGAAGUGGGCUAGCGUUGCUCGGACUUACUGGGCGUACAGGGCGCGUAGGCGGAUCGUUAAGUCAGGGGUGAAAUCCCAGAGCUCAACUCUGGAACUGCCCUGGAUACUGGCGAUCUUGGGUGUGAGAGAGGUAUGUGGAACUCCGAGUGUAGAGGUGAAAUUCGUAGAUAUUCGGAAGAACACCAGUGGCGAAGGCGACAUACUGGCUCAUUACUGACGCUGAGGCGCGAAAGCGUGGGGAGCAAACAGGAUUAGAAACCCGGGUAGUCC
RNAcentral lists this ribosomal RNA (425 nucleotides) under uncultured bacterium. RNAcentral describes it as "partial 16S ribosomal RNA". It matches the Rfam family "Bacterial small subunit ribosomal RNA", at positions 354 to 796 of the family's 1533-position model. The record is from RNAcentral.